Molecule: long non-coding RNA, 596 nt
Filed under: Androctonus crassicauda
Lineage: Eukaryota; Metazoa; Arthropoda; Arachnida; Scorpiones; Buthidae
Source: RNAcentral
AAAAUCUAUAAAAUUCGUAAAACGUUAUUUAAAUUUAAAAAUCCAAAUUUAGAUACUAGAUUUAAUACGGAAAAUUAAUUAUUGGUAAUUAUUUAAUUAAAAACAUUUGUCUUGAAAUCGCAGCGUAUGGAUGAAAAAAUAUGGUUCAAAAUAAUACCUUAUUUUCGAAUAAGUGUUGUGAGUAAGUGACGCAGGCAACCGAGAUAGGAGAAUUGACUCGGAGAUCAAGAUGAUAAUCAGAAUUAAUAUAUUUAUUAAAAUAGUGAGAAAAUAAAAAUACCAUUCAACAAAAGAAUAAACACAACUAACCUUAUCAGCUCUAUAAGUAAAUGAGAUAUAUAAAAAAUAAGAAGAGAGUUACAAUUUUAAUUCUUGAGUUAGGAGAGAGCUGUUCGAUUCUGAGUUGUGUGGACAUACCUGGAAGAGAAUGGUAUUUAUUUUUCGAUCUUCUUUCUUUCGGCCAUGUGUUUUUUAGGACGAAUGCCAUCUUCGCUCCUUCAUCUUGGUCGGAUGACACCGACGGGAAAAAACAAGGCUUCCCUUUUUCUUCUACAUUUUCGAAAAGAUCAACCUCUCUUUCUAUCACUUGUUCGUCC